AUUGAACGCUGGCGGCAGGCCUAACACAUGCAAGUCGAGCGGAUGAAGGGAGCUUGCUCCUGGAUUCAGCGGCGGACGGGUGAGUAAUGCCUAGGAAUCUGCCCGGAAGUGGGGGAUAACGUCCGGAAACGGGCGCUAAUACCGCAUACGUCCUGAGGGAGAAAGUGGGGGAUCUUCGGACCUCACGCUAUCAGAUGAGCCUAGGUCGGAUUAGCUAGUUGGUGGGGUAAAGGCCUACCAAGGCGACGAUCCGUAACUGGUCUGAGAGGAUGAUCAGUCACACUGGAACUGAGACACGGUCCAGACUCCUACGGGAGGCAGCAGUGGGGAAUAUUGGACAAUGGGCGAAAGCCUGAUCCAGCCAUGCCGCGUGUGUGAAGAAGGUCUUCGGAUUGUAAAGCACUUUAAGUUGGGAGGAAGGGCAGUAAGUUAAUACCUUGCUGUUUUGACGUUACCAACAGAAUAAGCACCGGCUAACUUCGUG
This 484-nucleotide ribosomal RNA is filed under the name uncultured bacterium. RNAcentral's name for it is "partial 16S ribosomal RNA". It matches the Rfam family "Bacterial small subunit ribosomal RNA", at positions 30 to 507 of the family's 1533-position model. The record is from RNAcentral.